This 71-nucleotide transfer RNA is filed under the name Anguilla anguilla (European eel). RNAcentral describes it as "tRNA-OTHER". The record is from RNAcentral. Lineage: Eukaryota; Metazoa; Chordata; Actinopteri; Anguilliformes; Anguillidae.
GUAUUGGUGGCCCAGUGGUUGAGCUCCCGCCUGCCACGCCGGUGGCCCAGGUUCGUGUCCCAGACAAUGCC